Molecule: long non-coding RNA, 1622 nt
Organism: Drosophila kikkawai
Lineage: Eukaryota; Metazoa; Arthropoda; Insecta; Diptera; Drosophilidae
Source: RefSeq, a predicted model, not a curated record
UAUGGAAAUUACCCCAAUCAAACAGUUUCCUAAAGUGUAACGGCCAGGAGUUCGAAUAUCUAAAAGCUUAAAAAGUUUUUUUAUAGCUGAUUUAAAAAAAAAAAUUAGCUAUAUUAAAAUCUGGCAUCGCUGAAAAAACAAAUGAAUUAUCUUAAGCUUGCUCUCUUAAGGCAGCUGCAUUGAUAAGCGCAGCCAACUUUGGUCCAGACAAAGCUUUUCGAGCUUAUCUAUAUAAACCACCCACGCGGCUAUAUUCGAUCUUUUCCGACCAAUAUAAUAAAACUUCGCAGACAUCGAUCUUGUGUUUUGUGCAGUGAAAAAUAAAAAUUCAGGUUAAAUCCGUUUGCGCACAUUUUUUUUAUACACAAUUAUUAUUGCACCCAAGCGCGUAAAUAAAUUGCGCCCAAGCGCUUUAUUUAAUAAAUUGUGCCAACGGUUGAAAAAGUGCUUUCAGUUUUCGGGAGAAAAAUUUUCUUCUUGGCUUCAAUUUCGAGUUGGCCAAUGAAAACUUCCUGGACCGCUCGCCAGGAAAACUGCAAAUAAUCUUUGCAGCCUUUUCUGAAAGUGUUGCCUUUGGAAGCUGAAAAACCCUCCCGACUACGGGAAAUAGAGAGAACUACAUUGAAAAAAUCUAAAGUGAGGAAAACCGUCCAAUUGGAUCCCGGUUUGAGGAAAAGUCAACCCGAAAUCCGCACCUGGCCAGCCCCUAAAUCCGCACCUGUACCCAGCAGCGAAAAGCACAGGGCAGCGGUAGCGCUUGGUCCAGCGACGUCGGCAGAGGCAGAGCAGAGGAAUGAUAAGGCGGAGGCAGCGAUCGCACCACGCGUUUUAGGAAAAGGGUUUUGUUGUAAAAAAGUGGUUGUUGUUUUUCUAAGCUUGUUUUGCAUUUGAUUUUCUUUUGUUCUCUUUUGCUCGGCAAAUGCAUAAAAAGUAAAGAGUGUUGCGACGUAGAAAUGACCUACAAUUAAAUUAAAUUAAAAUGCCAAAUUAAAGUCGAUAGAAAUUUUUUUUUCAUUCUUACGCUAACUUAAAGUUUCAGUAAUUAAAAAAAAUAUAUAUAUUACAUAUGAGAAGUUAAAUUCAAUUUUUUAAAGCUUUUGCCCCCCUUAAGCCUUAUGAUCAUCAUGUAACCCCGCUGGAAGGCCUUUCAACGAUGGAAAAGUAAACGUGAAUCGGACGGGAAAGGAAUUUUGGAACUGAAAUAAAGUUCCGAUUUGCUGGACGUGUGGCUGGGUAGAGGACACAGUAUUGAGCCCCGUUUUGAUUGGCUCCGCAAUAAAGUAAACAAAACUUGUUUAUCUACUGCUACUGUUCACAAGCUUUUACACAGUUCACGGCGCGGAUAUUUUUGUAUCUUCAUUACUACCUGUCGGUUGCUUGCGAGAAAAUGCUUCUGAGCCGCGUAAUCUAUAUAGUGACAUAUCCACAGUUCCACGGACUCUGUCUACGCCUACUUUCUUUACACACAACACAAACACACAUUAUUGUAAUACCCUGUAACACAACCACACUUGCCCAAUACACCCUUUGCUACCCUAGUUAUAUCCAGUACACACCAGAUAGCAACCGGAUGUUUAUAAGAAUCCCAAAGCCAAAGCUAGUGGAAUAAACCCAGGCUCCAC